Molecule: ribosomal RNA, 842 nt
Filed under: Triticum aestivum (bread wheat)
Lineage: Eukaryota; Viridiplantae; Streptophyta; Magnoliopsida; Poales; Poaceae
Description: partial small subunit ribosomal RNA
Source: RNAcentral
CCCAAUUAAAAAGGGAAGUGAAUUUUUUCCACCACACAUUUCCUUAUCGUCACUACCACACUCAUCUCUUACUCUCUCUCCAUCUUAUCUUGGUUCCUGGUGCGCACAAACCAUAGCAGCGCUUUCACUUGCAUUCUAGAAGAAGAAAAUUUGAGCAAGGAUAUAGCUGCGCUGCCCACAUGCAAGGAGUCUGACUGCGAAAGAGGAACGCCAGCUGCUUGGGGAGCUCGCCGCGAGUCUGACAACCAAAGAGGCGUGCGACUUUGCGUAGCCGCGGGGAGCUUGUCCAGGCCCACAUGCCCAGGGGAAGGCCGGUGCAGGUAGUCAGCGGCGACGCAUCAGUGGCCUGGACCAGUGCGUGCGUGCAACCACGCGGGAGGAAGAAGGUCACCAGCUUCACGGUGGUAAGUCCAUCGCCAUACAUGAGUAAGAAGGCGUACACAGGAGGCCAGGGGCGAUGGCGCGCGGCAAGCCGACGGCUGCACGCAGAGUUUUAUCAGGUGGUUAACUCCAGAAGUCCGGGGGUUGGCGCCCGCAGGUGGAUGGACGGCCGCACACACAGGAAUCCGGGCGACGAGACCCCGUCUAGGAGGUGCGGGCUGCCGUUGGUGGUCGUCUUCCAUGACCGCGGCGGCGGUUGGUUUUUUCUUUCUUUUUCCGCUCCCGUUUCAGUUUAUGUUCCUACCUAUUGUCUAAAUAUAUUAAGAGAGAUCUACAGUCUAACGAGGAGUUGGAUCGGCGUAAAGAACAAGACAAACGUGAUAUUAUCUCUAUAAGGAUGGUUACGAGGCUCUGCUCUUUUUUUCUUUAUUCAAUAUCUAUUUUUGUUUCUUCUAUUCUGC